RNAcentral lists this ribosomal RNA (198 nucleotides) under uncultured bacterium. RNAcentral's name for it is "partial 16S ribosomal RNA". It matches the Rfam family "Bacterial small subunit ribosomal RNA", at positions 328 to 539 of the family's 1533-position model. The record is from RNAcentral.
ACGCUCGACACCUACGGGAGGCAGCAGUGGGGAAUAUUGCACAAUGGAGGAAACUCUGAUGCAGCGAUGCCGCGUGAGGGAAGAAGGUUUUCGGAUUGUAAACCUCUGUCUUUGGGGACGAUAAUGACGGUACCCAAGGAGGAAGCUCCGGCUAACUACGUGCCGGCAGCCGCGGUAAUCUGAGCGGGCUGGCAAGGC